AGUGGAUGGGGAGCAACCUAGUUGCGAGUGCGGAAAGGUAGUGCCAAGAAAAGCUGUCAGAAUGAUGAGAAUUGAGUCCCGGUACCCGAAACCGACACUGGUAGGCAAGUAGAGAAUACUAAGGGGCGCGAGGUAACUCUCUCCAAGGAACUCGGCAAAAUGACCCCGUAACUUAGGGAGAAGGGGUGCCACCGAGAGGUGGUCGCAGUGAAGAGGCCCAGGCGACUGUUUAGCAAAAACAUAGGUCUCUGCAAACUCGAAAGAGGAAGUAUAGGGGCUGACGCCUGCCCAGUGCCGGAAGGUUAAAGAAGUUGGUCAGGAGAAAUCUGAAGCUGGCGACUGAAGCCCCGGUGAACGGCGGCCGUAACUAUAACGGUCCUAAGGUAGCGAAAUUCCUUGUCGGGUAAGUUCCGACCCGCACGAAAGGCGUAACGAUCUGAGCGCUGUCUCGGAGAGAGGCUCGGCGAAAUAGGAUUGUCUGUGAAGAUACGGACUACCUGCAUUUGGACAGAAAGACCCUAUGAAGCUUUACUGUAGCUUGAAAUUGUGUUCGGGCUUCCUGUGCGCAGGAUAGGUGGGAGGCUAGGAAGGUCUGCUUGUGGGCAGAUUGGAGCCAACCGUGAGAUACCACUCUCAGGAGGCUAGAAUUCUAACUUAAUUAAGGACAGUUUCAGGUGGGCAGUUUGACUGGGGCGGUCGCCUCCAAAAAGGUAACGGAGGCGUACAAAGGUUCCCUCACACUGGUUGGAAAUCAGUGGCAGAGUGCAAAGGCAGAAGGGAGCUUGACUGCGAGACGGACAAGUCGAGCAGGGUGGAAACACGGUCUUAGUGAUCCGACGGUGCUGUGUGGAAGGGCCGUCGCUCAACGGAUAAAAGUUACUCUAGGAUAACAGGCUGAUCUCCCCCAAGAGUUCACAUCGACGGGGAGGUUUGGCACCUCGAUGUCGGCUCAUCGCAACCUGGGGCGGAAGUACGUCCCAAGGGUUGGGCUGUUCGCCCAUUAAAGCGGUACGUGAGCUGGGCUCAGAACGUCGUGAGACAGUUCGGUCCAUAUCCGAUGUAGGCGUGAGAAUAUUGAGAGGAGCCUUCCUUAGUACGAGAGGACCGGGAAGGACGCACCGCUGGUGUACCUGUUAUGAUGCCAAUCGUAAACGCAGGGUAGCCAAGUGCGGAGAGGAUAACCGCUGAAAGCAUCUAAGUGGGAAGCCCACCUCAAGAUGAGUAUUCUGGUGUAAGGUCACGGGGAGACGACCCGUAGAUAGGCACGAGGUGGAAGUGCAGAGAUGUAUGAAGCCGAAGUGUACUAAUAGACCGUCGGCUUGACC
This 1325-nucleotide ribosomal RNA is filed under the name metagenome. RNAcentral describes it as "bacterial LSU rRNA". It matches the Rfam family "Bacterial large subunit ribosomal RNA", at positions 1561 to 2925 of the family's 2925-position model. The record is from RNAcentral.